RNAcentral lists this non-coding RNA (29 nucleotides) under Rattus norvegicus (Norway rat). The record is from RNAcentral. Lineage: Eukaryota; Metazoa; Chordata; Mammalia; Rodentia; Muridae.
ACUUAGUUUUUCUGAGUCGCCAUCUUGUC